CCCGCAGGCACAAUGAAAGUGAAGGCCACCCUUAAGCGGGGCCGAGGGAGGACGGGGGUCCUAGAGAACCUCCCGCACUCCCGGGGCGUCUGAUUCCUCAUUGCGAGGGGAGGCGCACCCAGAGCGCACACGUUGGGACCCGAAAGUGGUGAACUAUUA
This 159-nucleotide ribosomal RNA is filed under the name Rialla villosa. RNAcentral's name for it is "partial 28S ribosomal RNA". The record is from RNAcentral. Lineage: Eukaryota; Metazoa; Arthropoda; Insecta; Odonata; Corduliidae.